RNAcentral lists this ribosomal RNA (440 nucleotides) under uncultured bacterium. RNAcentral describes it as "bacterial SSU rRNA". It matches the Rfam family "Bacterial small subunit ribosomal RNA", at positions 339 to 796 of the family's 1533-position model. The record is from RNAcentral.
UUACGGGAGGCAGCAGUGAGGAAUAUUGGGCAAUGGGGGAAACCCUGAUCUAGCCAUGCCGCGUGGACGAUGAAGGCCCUAGGGUUGUAAAGUCCUUUCAGCUGGGAAGAUAAUGACGGUACCAGCAGAAGAAGCCCCGGCUAACUCCGUGCCAGCAGCCGCGGUAAUACGGAGGGGGCUAGCGUUGUUCGGAAUUACUGGGCGUAAAGCGCACGUAGGCGGACUGGAAAGUUAGGGGUGAAAUCCCGGGGCUCAACCCCGGAACUGCCCUUAAAACUAUCAGUCUGGAGUUCGAGAGAGGUGAGUGGAAUUCCGAGUGUAGAGGUGAAAUUCGUAGAUAUUCGGAGGAACACCAGUGGCGAAGGCGGCUCACUGGCUCGAUACUGACGCUGAGGUGCGAAAGCGUGGGGAGCAAACAGGAUUAGAUACCCGGGUAGUCC